This 253-nucleotide ribosomal RNA is filed under the name uncultured bacterium. Its description in RNAcentral is "partial 16S ribosomal RNA". It matches the Rfam family "Bacterial small subunit ribosomal RNA", at positions 524 to 776 of the family's 1533-position model. The record is from RNAcentral.
UACGAAGGGGGCUAGCGUUGUUCGGAAUCACUGGGCGUAAAGCGCACGUAGGCGGAUUGUUAAGUCGGGGGUGAAAUCCUGAGGCUCAACCUCAGAACUGCCUCCGAUACUGGCAAUCUCGAGUUCGGAAGAGGUUGGUGGAACAGCUAGUGUAGAGGUGAAAUUCGUAGAUAUUAGCUAGAACACCAGUGGCGAAGGCGGCCAACUGGUCCGACACUGACGCUGAGGUGCGAAAGCAUGGGGAGCAAACAGG